GUAGAGAAGUAUUCGAAUCCAUCCGAAUCCGUAGACCUUAAUUCACGAGAAAAUUUGUACCAAAUGUUGCCGGACAACCUGAAAAAAACAGUGAGAUCAAAACUGAGCAAGAAUUUGAAAUGUAUGGAUGAGGACGAAUCGUUGGCCGAGGGGUGGAGGGACGCUUUGAAACAUAUAAUGGAAUGGCUAGCGCCAAUGGCUCAUACCACAAUAAAUUGGCAGCUUGAAAGGAAUUUGGAGAAGACUAAAUUUGAUAUUAAGCCUUCUGUUUUGUUGCUGCAGACGUUGCAUUAUUCGGAUAAAGAGAAGACAGAAGCUGCCAUUGCUGAUAUUUUGGUUGGGUUGAGUUGUAUUUACAAGUGUGAGAAUCGCCAAUGGAGUGAAUCUUGAUUUUGUGGGUUUUUUGAGAAUUGGUGAAUUUUUCAAUCAUAUAGUUAGUCAUGGCAAAUAUUAGCUAGGAUUCAUUGGGUUGUGGAAGAGAAAUUGGAGUACUUACUUUAUACGAAUACUUUUUCCAAUGUUCCUAAUUCUUUUAGCAGGAUACCUGCAAUAGUUUCAUGCUGAGUGUGUGUAAAUGACCUCUUCUUUUCCCAAGAUUUUGAUUCAUGAGAAAUUCUCUCUUUUUCUUAUGUGAAUCAGAAUCGCCGAUGGAGUGAAUCUUGAUUUUGUGGGUUUUUUGAGAACUGGUGAAUUUUUCAAUCAUAUAGAUAGUCAUGGCAAAUAUUAACUAGGAUUCAUGGGUUGUGGAAGAGAAAUUGGAGUACUUAUUUUAUACAAAUAUUUUUUUUUCUUGAUUUACUUUUCCAAUGUUCCUAAUUCUUUUAUCAGGAUACCUGCAAUAGUUUCCUGCUGAGUGUGUAUGAAGGAUCACUUCAUUUUCCAAGAUCUUUGAUUCAUGAUAAAUUCACACUUUUUCAUGUGUAAAUACAAAUAUGAAUAAACUCAUGUGAAAGAACCAAGACUCCAAGCUGUAUUGCAUAGUACUCCCUCUAUUUCAACUUAAAUGACACACUUUCUUUAUUAGUU
This 1026-nucleotide long non-coding RNA is filed under the name Nicotiana benthamiana. RNAcentral's name for it is "long non-coding RNA (NBEN_LNC008603)". The record is from RNAcentral. Lineage: Eukaryota; Viridiplantae; Streptophyta; Magnoliopsida; Solanales; Solanaceae.